Molecule: ribosomal RNA, 462 nt
Filed under: uncultured bacterium
Lineage: Bacteria
Description: bacterial SSU rRNA
Rfam family: Bacterial small subunit ribosomal RNA
Source: RNAcentral
AUUGAACGCUGGCGGCAUGCCUUACACAUGCAAGUCGAACGGUAACGCGGGGCAACCUGGCGACGAGUGGCGAACGGGUGAGUAAUACAUCGGAACGUGCCCAGUAGUGGGGGAUAGCCCGGCGAAAGCCGGAUUAAUACCGCAUACGACCUACGGGUGAAAGCAGGGGAUCGCAAGACCUUGCGCUAUUGGAGCGGCCGAUGUCAGAUUAGGUUGUUGGUGGGGUAAAAGCCUACCAAGCCGACGAUCUGUAGCUGGUCUGAGAGGACGACCAGCCACACUGGGACUGAGACACGGCCCAGACUCCUACGGGAGGCAGCAGUGGGGAAUUUUGGACAAUGGGGGCAACCCUGAUCCAGCCAUGCCGCGUGAGUGAAGAAGGCCUUCGGGUUGUAAGACUCUUUCGGUCCGGGAAGGAAAUACGCAUGGGCGUAAUACCCUCGUGCGGAUGACGGUACCGGC